Molecule: ribosomal RNA, 253 nt
Filed under: uncultured bacterium
Lineage: Bacteria
Description: partial 16S ribosomal RNA
Rfam family: Bacterial small subunit ribosomal RNA
Source: RNAcentral
UACGGGGGGGACAAGCGUUGUUCGGAUUUACUGGGUGUAAAGGGCGCGUAGGCGGACUUUUAAGUCGGCUGUGAAAACCUGGAGCUUAACUCCAGGUCUGCACUCGAUACUAUUGGUCUUGAGUAUGGGAGAGGAUAGCGGAAUUCCAGGUGUAGCGGUGGAAUGCGUAGAUAUCUGGAAGAACACCGGUAGCGAAGGCGGCUAUCUGGCCCAAUACUGACGCUGAGGCGCGAAGGCCGGGGGAGCAAACAGG